RNAcentral lists this ribosomal RNA (253 nucleotides) under uncultured bacterium. RNAcentral describes it as "partial 16S ribosomal RNA". It matches the Rfam family "Bacterial small subunit ribosomal RNA", at positions 524 to 776 of the family's 1533-position model. The record is from RNAcentral.
UACGGGGGGUGCGAGCGUUGUCCGGAUUUACUGGGUUUAAAGGGUGCGUAGGUGGGUCUGUAAGUCAGUGGUGAAAUCUCCGGGCUUAACCCGGAAACUGCCAUUGAUACUAUAGAUCUUGAAUAUCCUGGAGGUGAGCGGAAUAUGUCAUGUAGCGGUGAAAUGCUUAGAUAUGACAUAGAACACCAAUUGCGAAGGCAGCUCACUGGACCACAACUUACGCUGAGGCGCGAAAGCUAGGGGAGCAAACAGG